This 280-nucleotide long non-coding RNA is filed under the name Elaeis guineensis (African oil palm). RNAcentral describes it as "long non-coding RNA (EGUI_LNC048434)". Lineage: Eukaryota; Viridiplantae; Streptophyta; Magnoliopsida; Arecales; Arecaceae. The record is from RNAcentral.
GGAUAAUCUUGCCAAUCAUGGAGAGGGUGUUGGCUUAACAACCCUCGAGAUGAUCACAGAUCCACUACUCCAUGGGCCUACAAUCGAUCCUCUGAAAUCUCUGUCCCAUGAUAGGAACCCCCAGAUAGGCCAGGAUCUUGGUUUACUCAGGGGUCCCCAGCCUAUCCUGAAUUGCCUACUUCACUUGGACCUUCUUGUUAGGGCUAAAGAUAACUACAGACUUCUAAAAAUUCGCAAGUUGGCCGAAAGCUAGAGCUCUAUCUCUAUAUUAAGAUUAUUA